AUUGAACGCUGGCGGCAUGCCUUACACAUGCAAGUCGAACGGCAGCGCGGACUUCGGUCUGGCGGCGAGUGGCGAACGGGUGAGUAAUACAUCGGAACGUACCCUGUUGUGGGGGAUAACUAGUCGAAAGAUUAGCUAAUACCGCAUACGACCUGAGGGUGAAAGUGGGGGACCGCAAGGCCUCACGCAGCAGGAGCGGCCGAUGUCUGAUUAGCUAGUUGGUGGGGUAAAGGCCCACCAAGGCGAAGAUCAGUAGCUGGUCUGAGAGGACGAUCAGCCACACUGGGACUGAGACACGGCACAGACUCCUACGGGAGGCAGCAGUGGGGAAGUUUGGACAAUGGGGGCAACCCUGAUCCAGCAUUGCCGCGUGUGUGAAGAAGGCCUUCAGGUUGUAAAGCACUUUUGUCCGGAAAGAAAUCGCGCUGGUUAAUACCUGGCGUGGAUGACGGUACCGGAAGAAUAAGCACCGGCUAACUACGUGCCAGCCGCCGCGGUAA
Molecule: ribosomal RNA, 500 nt
Filed under: uncultured bacterium
Lineage: Bacteria
Description: partial 16S ribosomal RNA
Rfam family: Bacterial small subunit ribosomal RNA
Source: RNAcentral